Molecule: ribosomal RNA, 505 nt
Filed under: uncultured bacterium
Lineage: Bacteria
Description: partial 16S ribosomal RNA
Rfam family: Bacterial small subunit ribosomal RNA
Source: RNAcentral
GACGAACGCUGGCGGCGUGCCUAAUACAUGCAAGUAGAACGCACAGUUUAUACCGUAGCUUGCUACACCAUAAACCGUGAGUUGCGAACGGGUGAGUAACGCGUAGGUAACCUGCCUGGUAGCGGGGGAUAACUAUUGGAAACGAUAGCUAAUACCGCAUAAUAUUAAUUAUUGCAUGAUAAUUGAUUGAAAGAUGCAAUUGCAUCACUACCAGAUGGACCUGCGUUGUAUUAGCUAGUAGGUGAGGUAACGGCUCACCUAGGCGACGAUACAUAGCCGACCUGAGAGGGUGAUCGGCCACACUGGGACUGAGACACGGCCCAGACUCCUACGGGAGGCAGCAGUAGGGAAUCUUCGGCAAUGGACGAAAGUCUGACCGAGCAACGCCGCGUGAGUGAAGAAGGUUUUCGGAUCGUAAAGCUCUGUUGUAAGAGAAGAACGGGUGUGAGAGUGGAAAGUUCACACUGUGACGGUAUCUUACCAGAAAGGGACGGCUAACUACGUG